This 657-nucleotide ribosomal RNA is filed under the name Triticum aestivum (bread wheat). Its description in RNAcentral is "partial small subunit ribosomal RNA". The record is from RNAcentral. Lineage: Eukaryota; Viridiplantae; Streptophyta; Magnoliopsida; Poales; Poaceae.
AUGCCUGAGUGGUUUGGGGGUCUGGUACAUUUGGUGAAGAUUGAGUUAUGGUAUAGCAAUCUGAAGGAUGGAGAUAAAAGCAUGAAACUACUAGGCACACUGCCCAAGCUGAUGCUCCUUCGUCUUUAUUUUGAUUCUUAUGUUGGGGAGAAACUGGUUUUCAGAGCAGAAACAUUCCCAAAUCUCAGGAGACUUGAUAUUUGGAGCCUGGAGCAACUGACAGAGUUGACAUUUGAGGUGGGCACCUCGCCCCUAUUGGAAAAGAUAGAAAUUCUCUGCUGCAGUUUGAAAUCAGGGAUUAAUGGUAUCAAUCACCUUCCAAGUCUCAAGGAGAUUUUACUUGGUUGGGAUGGUAAAGUGGCAAGGCUUGGUAUGCUGCAACGUGAAGUGGAUGGACACCCCAACCAUCCCGUUCUGCGACUGCUGUGGGACCGGAACCGCCACGACCUGGGUGACGUCGCCGAAGGUUCCACUACUGCAGUACAAGCGGAGGAGGAAGCGACGGAGCAGGAGGAAUCAUGUAUCCAUAACGACCCUGCAGCAGCAGGAGAAAGCUCCUCCUCACAGGUGGUGGCCGUGAGGACGGGAAGCGACAGCAUCCAAGAUUCUGAAGAUGAUUUUUGCUCCUGCAUUUCUGACGACGACGACAAUGCUUGA